This 71-nucleotide transfer RNA is filed under the name Ameiurus melas (black bullhead). It matches the Rfam family "tRNA". Rfam says of the family: Transfer RNA (tRNA) molecules are approximately 80 nucleotides in length. Their secondary structure includes four short double-helical elements and three loops (D, anti-codon, and T loops). The record is from Rfam by way of RNAcentral. Lineage: Eukaryota; Metazoa; Chordata; Actinopteri; Siluriformes; Ictaluridae.
GCAUUGGUGGUUCAGUGGUAUAAUUCUAGCUUGCCAUGUUGGAGACCUGGGUUCGAUUCCCAGCCAAUGCA